Long non-coding RNA from Amphiprion ocellaris (clown anemonefish), 1061 nucleotides. The record is from Ensembl. Lineage: Eukaryota; Metazoa; Chordata; Actinopteri; Pomacentridae.
CGGAAAACGAACUUUUAUUUACAAUCUGCAGAAUGUGCAAAACUACAACUCCCAGUGUCCUCGAAAAAACGGAAAUCGACAGAACUACAAAACAGCUAAUACGCUAACUUGCUAGCGCCUCUAGUGACUAGUAGAUAACAAAAACUAUCGCGGAACUAUAAGGGCUAGAGAACAAUGCUGGAAAACUCGGAAGAUCUCUACAAUAUUACUAUGACGCAAAACCUUGACAUUUACUCAAGUGCUAGGGAAAGAGUGGGUCGAAAACGCCACCUACGCUUUAGAUGCUUAGUCCAAAAAUUCUACGAACCAAAUAACACAUUUAUCUACAAACUACGGGUCUGUACCCUCCGUGAAUCACCACUACAACGACUAUGUGAUAGAAUUAACAAAAAACCUACUGCGAAGUACUCAUUAACAGAACCAACUACAAAGAACUCAAAACGGAGCCUGCUCGGACCGGUGCUACAGCUGGCAAGUGAGAAGCAGGGGGCUGAGGCUCGAAGGCGGCCCGGAUGUGUCUCGGCUGCGGAGACGACUGGUGAGGGCUAAGCCGGAGCUGGGCGAAGGAUGGCUGAGGUGAAGGUAGAAGAUGAACCGGGUGAGUCCACAUCCAGGGGGGUCGGGUGAUCUCCACCGGAAGGCAGUCCUGACUAGGAGCAGAGCAGAGCAAAUUACUUGGCGUACUAAGGCAAGAGGAAAAGGUGCAACAGAAAAUAGGACCUUCCAAGCGUACUUGUGGAGAUGCAGGCUGAGGAGGAGCGGAACCGGCACCCAGCAUGAUGAGAACAUCUGGUUGCUCCUCAGCGAGAAUGAAGCUGCCUUGCAGCGGGAGGAGAUGGUCCAGAAUGCUGCCUUCAACCAGUCAUUCCUGGGUGUGCUGGGGCAGCUGGUGCAGGUAGUGGGCAGCCAGCAAGUCCACCUCCCAGAGACUUGAGAUUUAGUUGUACAUAGUUUUACUUUUAGCCCUCCACUGUAGGACAGGCCCACCACAGUUUGUACUUUGCACAUUGUAAAUAGUUUUGAUUUUGCUGCUGACUAAUAAACUAUUUUGUGACUUGUGA